This is a non-coding RNA of Takifugu rubripes (torafugu), 45 nucleotides long. Lineage: Eukaryota; Metazoa; Chordata; Actinopteri; Tetraodontiformes; Tetraodontidae. The record is from Rfam.
GCAACGGCUCUUUUCAGAGCCACACACGCGCGCGCUGAAGCACCG